This 253-nucleotide ribosomal RNA is filed under the name uncultured bacterium. Its description in RNAcentral is "partial 16S ribosomal RNA". It matches the Rfam family "Bacterial small subunit ribosomal RNA", at positions 524 to 776 of the family's 1533-position model. The record is from RNAcentral.
UACGUAGGGGGCGAGCGUUGUCCGGAUUUAUUGGGCGUAAAGAGCGUGUAGGCGGUCCGGUAAGUCCGCUGUGAAAGUCGGGGGCUCAACCCUCGAAUGCCGGUGGAUACUGUCGGGCUAGAGUGCGGAAGAGGCGAGUGGAAUUCCUGGUGUAGCGGUGAAAUGCGCAGAUAUCAGGAGGAACACCUAUUGCGAAGGCAGCUCGCUGGGACGUAACUGACGCUGAGACGCGAAAGCGUGGGGAGCAAACAGG